This 439-nucleotide ribosomal RNA is filed under the name uncultured bacterium. RNAcentral describes it as "partial 16S ribosomal RNA". It matches the Rfam family "Bacterial small subunit ribosomal RNA", at positions 339 to 795 of the family's 1533-position model. The record is from RNAcentral.
CUACGGGAGGCAGCAGUGGGGAAUAUUGCACAAUGGAGGAAACUCUGAUGCAGCAACGCCGCGUGGAGGAUGACACUUUUCGGAGCGUAAACUCCUUUUAUAUAGGAAGAAGAUGACGGUACUAUAUGAAUAAGCGCCGGCUAACUCCGUGCCAGCAGCCGCGGUAAUACGGAGGGCGCAAGCGUUACUCGGAAUCACUGGGCGUAAAGAGCGUGUAGGCGGAUUAAAAAGUCAGAAGUGAAAUCCUAUAGCUUAACUAUAGAACUGCUUCUGAAACUCUUAAUCUAGAAUAUGGGAGAGGUAGAUGGAAUUUCUGGUGUAGGGGUAACAUCCGUAGAGAUCAGAAGGAUUACCGAUUGCGAAGGCGAUCUACUAGAACAUUAUUGACGCUGAGACGCGAAAGCGUGGGGAGCAAACAGGAUUAGAUACCCGGGUAGUC